This 439-nucleotide ribosomal RNA is filed under the name uncultured bacterium. Its description in RNAcentral is "partial 16S ribosomal RNA". It matches the Rfam family "Bacterial small subunit ribosomal RNA", at positions 339 to 795 of the family's 1533-position model. The record is from RNAcentral.
CUACGGGUGGCUGCAGUGAGGAAUAUUGCACAAUGGGGGGAACCCUGAUGCAACAACGCCGCGUGGAGGAUGACGCAUUUCGGUGUGUAAACUCCUUUUAUAUGUCAAGAAAAUGACGGUAGCAUAUGAAUAAGCACCGGCUAACUCCGUGCCAGCAGCCGCGGUAAUACGGAGGGUGCAAGCGUUACUCGGAAUCACUGGGCGUAAAGGACGCGUAGGCGGGUUGGAAAGUCAGGUGUGAAAUCCUACAGCUUAACUGUAGAACUGCACUUGAAACUUCUAAUCUAGAGUAUGGGAGGGGGAGAUGGAAUUAGUGGUGUAGGGGUAAAAUCCGUAGAUAUCAUUAGGAAUACCUAAAGCGAAGGCGAUCUCCUGGAACAUUACUGACGCUAAGGCGUGAAAGCGUGGGGAGCAAACAGGAUUAGAUACCCCUGUAGUC